This 576-nucleotide ribosomal RNA is filed under the name uncultured eukaryote. Its description in RNAcentral is "partial 18S ribosomal RNA". The record is from RNAcentral.
ACCAGACUUGCCCUCCAAUAGAUCCUCGUUAAAGGAUUUAGAUUGUUCUCAUUCCAAUUACGGGGCCUCAUAAGAGUCCCGUAUUGUUAUUUUUCGUCACUACCUCCCCGUUCUGGGAUUGGGUAAUUUGCGUGCCUGCUGCCUUCCUUGGAUGUGGUAGCCGUUUCUCAGGCUCCCUCUCCGGAAUCGAACCCUGAUUCCCCGUUACCCGUUACAACCAUGGUAGGCGCAUAACCUACCAUCGACAGUUGAUAAGGCAGACACUUGAAAGAUUCAUCGCCGGCUCGUAGGCCAUGCGAUUAGCGAAAGUUAUUCAGAGUCACCACUGAGAGGAGCCGCCCUUGCGAGCGGCCCCAUUGGUCUUGUUCUAAUAAAUGCGCUUUUCCCUUACGGUCAAAGCUUUUGUGCAUGUAUUAGCUCUAGAAUUACCACAGUUAUCCAUGUAGACAGUCAACAUCUAAGGAACCGUAACUGAUUUAAUGAGCCAUUCGCGGUUUCGCCUUAAUACGGCAUGUACUUAGACAUGCAUGGCUUAAUCUUUGAGACAAGCAUAUGACUACUGGCAGGAUCAACCAG